AUGCAGACCUGGAGCAGUUAAUAUCUGCUGCUAAAGUUUCCACUAUAAAUGCAAGAAAAAGAAGGUCCUUGCGCUUUCUGUCUGUCUGGUUGUGGCAGCCAAGACUGAAUGGGGGAAGAUAGGA
RNAcentral lists this small nucleolar RNA (124 nucleotides) under Dasypus novemcinctus (nine-banded armadillo). RNAcentral's name for it is "Small nucleolar RNA SNORA31 (ENSDNOG00000030089.1)". Lineage: Eukaryota; Metazoa; Chordata; Mammalia; Cingulata; Dasypodidae. The record is from RNAcentral.